Fundulus heteroclitus (mummichog) is the source of this 1881-nucleotide long non-coding RNA. RefSeq lists it as uncharacterized. The record is from RefSeq and is a predicted model, not a curated record. NCBI's taxonomy places the organism in Eukaryota, Metazoa, Chordata, Actinopteri, Cyprinodontiformes, Fundulidae. The transcript has 2 exons.
ACCAUCAUCAUAGUUAUGGUUCUGUUUAGUUUAACUUUACACUUAUGAGGACUUUUUCUGUUCAUUCGUUCACUGUUCAGCCACCAGCAGUUAUCCUUGCAGCUCAGUCUGUCUCCAGCCACCACCCAACUCUAGAUUAUCCCCACCUGUCCCCACUAAUUAGUUACUCAGCUCACCUGUUCACCAGCCUACUUAUACCUGCCUUUGCCUACUCAUCUCUGCCAGAACUUCUGACUCACUCACUUCUUCUUGCUCCUCAUCGCUCACUCUCUUCGUUGCUCUUCCCGUGUGAUUUGCCUUUGCUUCACCUGCUCAUAUGUGGUCUGUCAGCUGGACUCUCCUGCUAAGGUCGCCGGUGUCUGCAGGCUGCAGCUUAGCCUGUUUCCUGCUCUACCGGAUCCUGUGUGCCAUGCCAGCUGAACGCUCCUAGUUGAGAUUGCCUGAGUCUCCAUGCUGCUUGCUACCUGUUCCUCCGUGAGUCUGCCGCCUACAUCUCCUGGUUCUCUGCUCAUCCCGGUAAACCAGCACUUUCUACCAGGAUUCCUCUGACAAGACUGACUGUUUACCUGCUUCAUCUGCCAUUAUUCACCCCUUCAAUAAACCAUUCACAAUGUAACUGUGUCUGGCUAAAAAUCAGGUUCACCUGCAUUAAAGUAUGACAACCAUACAGAAUACAGGUCUAGAUCAGUGAGCGGAUUGGCUCUGCCAUAUUUCCAGUCUUAUUAUUUAGCAGCAAAUAUACGACACAUGCUAUAUUGGAUCACUAACUAUUCUACAGAAACCCCAGCUUGGCUUCAAAUUGAGUUGUCUAAUUGUGGCAAGACUAGUUGACUACCUGCUUUUUUGACCUCUGCUCUCCCUUUAGAAGUAUGUAAAUAUAACUGCAACCCUCUCCUAUAUAACUCUGAUAAUCUGGGUGCGAUGUAGGAAAAGAUUUGGGCUACAUUUUAUGUUAAUCAAAACUCCUAUUUGUAUAAAUCCCAUGAUCCGACCUUCUAUGUAAAGUUGAACACAUUUUUAUUGAUGGGACAUUUACACAGUUUAUGGAACAGUUUAAUAUCUUGCAUACACAUCUUUUCCGCGAUUUGCAACUGCGGCAUUUUGUGAAGAAUAGAUAUUAAUUAUUUCCUGAACUACCUGAGGAAACAACUCUGGAUAAAAUCAUAGGUAUAAACAUUCAUAAGAGGGGUGCAAUUAAAGAAAUCUAUACUGUUAGAAAAAUGUGAAUGUAAUCAUUUUAUUUUUUAUCAAGUUACAGCCAUUUGGUUUGUUUAAGAAUUUGCUUUCAGAAAGGUUUUGUUGUAUUUACCCCUAGGCAGGAAGAACAAAUGGUACAGAUAAGGAAUGUCUAAUGUCUGAUAAUAAAAGCAGAAGGACAGACGCAGACGUUCCUAAACCUUAAGGGAGUGUAGUUCUCCGUUUGGGUAUCCUCUGUCCUUUUCUAUAGAAAUGUUUAAAACUUGUGUUGUGUGGUUUUCAUUCUAGGAUAAAAGGGGUUAUAUUUAAUAACCCUAUCAGCCUGGUGCCGUGACGCGGAUCCCAACAUAUCAGCUCGCUGACGAGAGGAGCGGACAUGCUGAAACCCACCGGUGGUCUGAGUCAAGGACCUGUCUAAAGUCCCGGGAGGUAACUUCCUCGCUGGGCCAGCGUCGUAGGUUAACUCCUUUCGCCAACGAGGGAUUGACGGGAUCCGACCGGGAGAAAAACACACCACAGCAAGAUCCACAAGCAGUGAGACCAGGAGACUGGUUUGUUCAUCAAAAUCAUCAGAAGGAAGGACUGGGCGAGCCAAAGUUGGGAAGGACCAUUCCAAGAGCUCCUGACCAUGCCAACAGCUGUAAUAAUCGCUGAAAGACCUUCCUGGAUUCACCUCAGCCACUG